Molecule: ribosomal RNA, 383 nt
Filed under: Hyalomma rufipes
Lineage: Eukaryota; Metazoa; Arthropoda; Arachnida; Ixodida; Ixodidae
Description: partial large subunit ribosomal RNA
Rfam family: Bacterial large subunit ribosomal RNA (bases 239-383)
Source: RNAcentral
GAAUGCUAAAAGAAUGGAAAUUUAAAAAAAAACUUUUUUAAAAAUAAAAAUUGAAUUUUUUUUAAUUUGUGCAAAAACAAUUAUAUUUAUUAAAGACAAGAAGACCCUAAGAAUUUAAGAUUUUACAAUUAAAAAGUUUUUUUUUAAAAUCUUGAUUGGGGCGAUCAAAAAAUAUUAAUAACUUUUUAAAAUUUAAAUUGAUCUAUUAUUAAUAAACUAAUGAAUUAAAUACUCUAGGGAUAACAGCGUAAUAAUUUUCGAUAGAUCUUAUUGACAAAAUAGUUUGCGACCUCGAUGUUGGAUUAGGAUUCUUUUUUAAUGAAGAAGUUAAAAAAAGAAGUUUGUUCAACUUUUAAAUUCCUACUUGAUCUGAGUUCAGACCG